This 74-nucleotide transfer RNA is filed under the name bacterium. Its description in RNAcentral is "tRNA-Arg". It matches the Rfam family "tRNA". Rfam says of the family: Transfer RNA (tRNA) molecules are approximately 80 nucleotides in length. RNAcentral also lists the same sequence under 6 other names. The record is from RNAcentral.
GCCCUCGUAGCGCAAAUGGAUAGAGCAUCUCCCUGCGAAGGAGAAGGUUUCCCGUUCGAAUCGGGACGAGGGCA